Molecule: ribosomal RNA, 253 nt
Filed under: uncultured bacterium
Lineage: Bacteria
Description: partial 16S ribosomal RNA
Rfam family: Bacterial small subunit ribosomal RNA
Source: RNAcentral
UACGAAGGGUGCAAACGUUGCUCGGAAUUAUUGGGCGUAAAGAGUGUGUAGGCGGUGCUCUAAGUUCGGUGUGAAAUCUCCUGGCUCAACUGGGAGGGUGCGCCGGAAACUGGAGUGCUUGAGCGUGGGAGAGGAAAGCGGAAUUCCUGGUGUAGCGGUGAAAUGCGUAGAUAUUGCUCGGAAGGCCAACGGCGAAGGCAGGUUACUGGUACGCAACUGACGCUGAGGCACGAAAGCGUGGGGAGCAAACAGG